RNAcentral lists this ribosomal RNA (442 nucleotides) under uncultured bacterium. RNAcentral's name for it is "partial 16S ribosomal RNA". It matches the Rfam family "Bacterial small subunit ribosomal RNA", at positions 338 to 795 of the family's 1533-position model. The record is from RNAcentral.
CCUACGGGAGGCAGCAGUGGGGGAUAUUGCACAAUGGGGGAAACCCUGAUGCAGCGACGCCGCGUGGGCGAAGAAGUAUUUCGGUAUGUAAAGCUCUAUCAGCAGGGAAGAAGAAAUGACGGUACCUGAGUAAGAAGCACCGGCUAAAUACGUGCCAGCAGCCGCGGUAAUACGUAUGGUGCAAGCGUUAUCCGGAUUUACUGGGUGUAAAGGGAGCGCAGGCGGCACGGCAAGCCUGAUGUGAAAGCCCGCGGCCCAACCGCGGGACUGCAUUGGGAACUACCGGGCUGGAGUGCCGGUGAGGUAGGCGGAAUUCCUAGUGUAGCGGUGAAAUGCGUAGAUAUUAGGAAGAACACCAGUGGCGAAGGCAGCCUACUGGACGGUGACUGACGCUGAGGCUCGAAAGCGUGGGGAGCAAACAGGAUUAGAUACCCCAGUAGUC